AGAGUUUGAUCAUGGCUCAGGACGAACGCUGGCGGCGUGCCUAACACAUGCAAGUCGAACGGAGAAUUUCAAAGAGCUUGCUCUAAGAGAUUUUUAGUGGCGGACGGGUGAGUAACGCGUGGGUAACCUACCCAUAAAGCCGGGACAACCCUUGGAAACGAGGGCUAAUACCGGAUAAUCUUAAGUCUUGGCAUCAAGGCAUAAGGAAAGGUGGCCGAUAAGAAUGCUACCGAUUAUGGAUGGACCCGCGUCUGAUUAGCUGGUUGGUGGGGUAAAGGCCUACCAAGGCGACGAUCAGUAGCCGGCCUGAGAGGGUGAACGGCCACACUGGGACUGAGACACGGCCCAGACUCCUACGGGAGGCAGCAGUGGGGAAUCUUCCGCAAUGGACGAAAGUCUGACGGAGCAACGCCGCGUGUAUGAUGAAGGUCUUCGGAUUGUAAAGUACUGUCUUUGGGGAAGAACGAAGUACUUGAGAAAAUUGAGUACAAAUGACGGUACCCAAGGAGGAAGCCCCGGCUAACUACGUGCCAGCAGCCGCGGUAAUACGUAGGGGGCAAGCGUUGUCCGGAAUUAUUGGGCGUAAAGGGCGCGUAGGCGGAUAAUUAAGUCCGGUGUGAAAGAUCAGGGCUCAACCCUGAGAGUGCAUCGGAAACUGGCUAUCUUGAGGACAGGAGAGGAAA
Molecule: ribosomal RNA, 683 nt
Filed under: bacterium enrichment culture clone F8 1.705-7
Lineage: Bacteria
Description: bacterial SSU rRNA
Rfam family: Bacterial small subunit ribosomal RNA
Source: RNAcentral